Molecule: unclassified non-coding RNA, 189 nt
Filed under: uncultured Cladophialophora
Lineage: Eukaryota; Fungi; Ascomycota; Eurotiomycetes; Chaetothyriales; Herpotrichiellaceae
Description: sequence contains ITS2
Source: RNAcentral
UCACCCCCCUCAAGCCCUGUGCUUGGUGUUGGACGGUUCGGUGGAAGGGGUACACCCUUCCACCCGUCCUAAAGACAAUGACGGCGGCCUCGUGGAGCCCCCGGUACACUGAGCUUCUUAACUGAGCACGUAUCGGAUCAAGGGCGCCCGGGGCACGGUCCUCUCCCCCUUACGGGGAAAUUUUCUCAA